GUGAACGCUGGCGGCGUGCCUCAUACAUGCAAGUCGAACGAACGAAUAAGAGCUUGCUCUUAUAAGUUAGUGGCGCACGGGUGAGUAAUAUAUAGCUAAUCUGCCUCUUAGUAGAGGAUAACAGUCGGAAACGAUUGCUAAUACUCUAUACUUCUGCUUUACAUAAGUAAAGUAGAGAAAGUUUUUCGCUAAGAGAUGAGGCUAUACUGUAUCAGCUAGUUGGUAAGGUAACGGCUUACCAAGGCUAUGACGCAUAACUGGUCUGAGAGGAUGAUCAGUCACAUUGGAACUGAGACACGGUCCAAACUCCUACGGGAGGCAGCAGUAGGGAAUAUUGCGCAAUGGGGGAAACCCUGACGCAGCAACGCCGCGUGGAGGAUGACACUUUUCGGAGCGUAAACUCCUUUUAUCGGGAAAGAAUAAUGACGGUACCCGAUGAAUAAGCACCGGCUAACUCCGUG
This 461-nucleotide ribosomal RNA is filed under the name uncultured bacterium. Its description in RNAcentral is "partial 16S ribosomal RNA". It matches the Rfam family "Bacterial small subunit ribosomal RNA", at positions 29 to 507 of the family's 1533-position model. The record is from RNAcentral.